RNAcentral lists this long non-coding RNA (1000 nucleotides) under Homo sapiens (human). RNAcentral's name for it is "HSALNT0351658". The record is from RNAcentral. Lineage: Eukaryota; Metazoa; Chordata; Mammalia; Primates; Hominidae.
CCUGCACACACACACACAUGCACGCAUGCACACACACACACACAGAAGGUGAACACACAGGAUGAGGCCCUGAAAACUCAUUUCACCCGUGUACCUCACCCAAAAAUUCCCCUUUGUACUCCUAUCUUUAUCUCUAACUGACAGCAUGAAGGUAGCCCGAAGUCCCCUCACCCUGUCUGUCCUCCUGAUUCUCUAGCCCAGUUCCCUCUAGCUCCAGCACAGACUCUUAUCUCCAGCCCUGACUGCCGAAACCCUCCAGCCCCAGCUCCAGCCCCUCAGGAGGGGACUGCGUGGGAGGAAUGACUCCAGCAAGCCGGCAGCUGACCCGUCUCCUGCCUGCACGCCUCCCGCUGUGGUCCACUGCCGGUGGUCUUCAGCUCUCUCCUCGUCCCACCCCCAUGGUCUGCUGACAGCCCAGCUCAGUGCAUCCCUGCCAUCUCUGCUCUACCGCUGGUCCUCCCAACAACCAACUUACAGACACUGAGGACGCUUGCUAUGUGGCGUGGUGGACGGUGGGGCUUGACCCUGGGGACUGAGAGGUGGAGAAGACACAGUCCCAUCUGUCUCACGGCAGAGACAGGUUUGGGGGCACACGUGAAGGUUUGACAUAUAGUAAACACAUGUCAUGGUGGUUUGUUGUACAGAUUAUUACAUCACCCAGGUACUAAGCCCAGUACCCAAUAGUUGUCUUUUCUGCUCCUCUCCCUCCUCCCGCCCUCAAGAAGACCCCCGUGUCUGCACUUUCCUUCUUUGUGUUCGUAAGUUCUUAUCAUUUAGCUCCCAAUGCUUUCCAUUCUUUUAGAUAUAUGUGCCCUUGGCAUUUUUGCCCUUUUGGGCCCCUUCUUCCAGCAAAUAAUAAUAAUAGUAAUAAUUAAUUCUAUUUUACAACUAUUGGUAUAAAGACAAAUAUAUUAAUUUUUUUUUUUUUUCCGAGACAGGGUUUCACUCCCGUCACCCAGACUGGAGUACAAUGGUGCGAUCUCAGCUCACUGCAACCUCU